This 429-nucleotide ribosomal RNA is filed under the name Gemmatimonadota bacterium. Its description in RNAcentral is "Gemmatimonadetes bacterium partial 16S ribosomal RNA". It matches the Rfam family "Bacterial small subunit ribosomal RNA", at positions 355 to 776 of the family's 1533-position model. Lineage: Bacteria; Pseudomonadati; Gemmatimonadota. The record is from RNAcentral.
UAGGGAAUCUUCGGCAAUGGACGAAAGUCUGACCGAGCAACGCCGCGUGAGUGAAGAAGGUUUUCGGAUCGUAAAACUCUGUUGUUAGAGAAGAACAAGGACGUUAGUAACUGAACGUCCCCUGACGGUAUCUAACCAGAAAGCCACGGCUAACUACGUGCCAGCAGCCGCGGUAAUACGUAGGUGGCAAGCGUUGUCCGGAUUUAUUGGGCGUAAAGCGCGCGCAGGCGGUUUCUUAAGUCUGAUGUGAAAGCCCCCGGCUCAACCGGGGAAGGUCAUUGGAAACUGGGAGACUUGAGGGCAGAAGAGGAGAGUGGAAUUCCAUGUGGAGCGGUGAAAUGCGUAGAUAUAUGGAGGAACACCAGGGGCGAAGGCGGUUCUCUGGUCUGUAACUGACGAUGAGGAUCGAAAGAGUGGGGAGCAAACAGG